ACAAUGGUACUCCCGCCCAGCCACAGUCUCAAACAAUGGGGGCGGCUCUGUCAGAACGACAGUUGGGGUGAAACUCCCGUGA
This 82-nucleotide non-coding RNA is filed under the name Lawsonibacter asaccharolyticus. Its description in RNAcentral is "pemK RNA". It matches the Rfam family "pemK RNA". The record is from RNAcentral. RNAcentral also lists the same sequence under 1 other name. Lineage: Bacteria; Bacillati; Bacillota; Clostridia; Eubacteriales; Oscillospiraceae.